Molecule: ribosomal RNA, 255 nt
Filed under: Clostridioides difficile
Lineage: Bacteria; Bacillati; Bacillota; Clostridia; Peptostreptococcales; Peptostreptococcaceae
Description: partial 23S ribosomal RNA
Rfam family: Bacterial large subunit ribosomal RNA
Source: RNAcentral
AACCGACACAGGUGGGUGAGGAGAGUAUCCUAAGGCCAGCGAGAGAACUGUUGUUAAGGAACUCGGCAAAAUGACCCCGUAACUUAGGGAUAAGGGGUGCCACCAUCAGGUGGCCGCAGAGAAUAGGUCCAAGCGACUGUUUACCAAAAACAUAGGUUUCUGCUAAGUCGCAAGACGAUGUAUAGGAGCUGACGCCUGCCCGGUGCUGGAAGGUUAAGGGGAUCUGUUAGAGCAAUCGAAGCAGUGAACUUAAGC